RNAcentral lists this ribosomal RNA (253 nucleotides) under uncultured bacterium. RNAcentral's name for it is "partial 16S ribosomal RNA". It matches the Rfam family "Bacterial small subunit ribosomal RNA", at positions 524 to 776 of the family's 1533-position model. The record is from RNAcentral.
UACGAAGGGGGCUAGCGUUGUUCGGAAUUACUGGGCGUAAAGCGCACGUAGGCGGAUCGAUCAGUCAGGGGUGAAAUCCCAGGGCUCAACCCUGGAACUGCCUUUGAUACUGUCGAUCUGGAGUAUGGAAGAGGUGAGUGGAAUUCCGAGUGUAGAGGUGAAAUUCGUAGAUAUCUGGAGGAAUACCGGUGGCGAAGGCGGCAUCCUGGACCAUUACUGACGCUGAGGCGCGAAAGCUAGGGGAGCAAACGGG